AGCUGCCAAAUUAUUGACAUGAAAAACCCAUGGCCUUCUAGCGGUUAAAAAUCUAGAUCUAGAUCUAUAGUCUAUAUAUAGACACUAUAGUACUUAGUAGUCUGAUUAGAAUCAUCAUUAGACCUCUAACUGAGUCUCAGUAACUCUAGAUUAGUCUAGAUCUAGAUCCCGUACGAUAAAGUCAUGCUUCAUAAGGCUUUGCUUACCACAAGCAACAUAGCAAUGCCUAAGCUGCUAUUGUGUAGCAUAUUUUACAAAGAGAACAGAAUUUUGAGAUCAAGGUCUCAACUUGUAUUUCCUCUAAAGAUCAGAUUUUUUAACACCUUUCUGAGGGGCGCUAAUUACAAGUAUUGUUUAUUAAGCAAAGAUGUGAAUUCAUCAUAUAGUUGCAGAUCAUUUUUAACUCUUGCUAAGCAACCUGUAAAGGUUUUAAACUGGGAGAACUUCAGUACACCUCUGCCUGCAAACUUCUUUAAAAAUAAAUACAGAAGGCAACAACAUUAUAGCUCUAAAAAAGUCUCUUUUCAACAUCCAGGUAUACCAGCACAGGAUUUUGAUUCACUCUAUCUCUUACAAUUUAUCAGACUUUUCCGUUUCAUUGGAUUUUCUACAAAAAUAUCAACCUUUGUUACAACACUGGGUUGUCCUUUAACUCUUGGCCUGUAUGUUUCAAAUACCUUAGGGGUACACACAGCAUUGAGCAUAGCUGGAGCACUGAUAUCAAAUUCUUUGAUUUUAUUAGGCCUAAGUGCUAUGUGGACAUCUCGAGUUGUUGGGAAAAUAAUGCUAAGCGAAGACCAAAAGUAUUUUAAAAUUUCACAUCUGUCAAUCUUUGGCAAACGAAAAGAUAUUUAUAUUCAACCACAAGAUUUGAUUGUCAGCAAUAAUAAAUUACUUUCAUUUUUUGCAGUUAAAACACUCCAAUUUAAAAAUGAACCCAAGAAGCUUUUGUUUUUUCCUUUUGCUGGGACAGAAAGUUCUGAUAUAGAAACAUUAGAUUUAAUAUUUAGUAAAAACCAAAUUAAAAAGACUUAAUAUUUGAUUAUUUGUGUUCAAAUGUAUAGUCCUACCAUCUGUGUAUUCUAAUACUAGUUACUAUGGUUUUAGCGACAAAGUUUUGUAAAACUGCUUAAUGUAAAGGUUCUUACUCAGACUUUACAUAAUUCAUCCUUGUUUCCUUCCUUGUUUUAUUGUGUUUUUUAAAUUUCCUAACUGUUGAAAGCCUAUACAUUUUGUAUAUUGAUAUCUAUAUAUUAAAGUGUACAGUACAUAAGGGAAAGCCUGCAACCCAUCUAAAUUGAAUAAUAUACUAGAGACUACAAUGUUAUGAAUACUGGUAUAAUUUGUUUCAACUAAAUUGUAACUAAUGUAUAAGUGUUUUCUUUAUUUUGUACCUUUUAUGUAAAUUUCCUGUGGUUUAAGGGUGUAGCAUAGUACUAGUCAGCAUGAAUGAUGGUUGCAUUUUUCUUUGAUGAUUGAAUUUUGGUUUUAUAUUAAAGAUUUUAUUUUUGUUCA
Long non-coding RNA from Biomphalaria glabrata, 1515 nucleotides. RefSeq lists it as uncharacterized. The record is from RefSeq and is a predicted model, not a curated record. Lineage: Eukaryota; Metazoa; Mollusca; Gastropoda; Planorbidae. The transcript has 2 exons.